ACUUAAGCAUAUCAAUAAGCGGAGGAAAAGAAACCAACAGGGAUUGCCUCAGUAACGGCGAGUGAAGCGGCAACAGCUCAAAUUUGAAAUCUGACCCCUUCGGGGCCCGAGUUGUAAUUUGUAGAGGAUGCUUCGGGUGCGGCGCCGGUCUAAGUUCCUUGGAACAGGACGUCAUAGAGGGUGAGAAUCCCGUAUGCGACCGGCGGCCAACCCCGUGUGAAGCCCCUUCGACGAGUCGAGUUGUUUGGGAAUGCAGCUCAAAAUGGGUGGUAAAUUUCAUCUAAAGCUAAAUACCGGCCAGAGACCGAUAGCGCACAAGUAGAGUGAUCGAAAGAUGAAAAGCACUUUGGAAAGAGAGUCAAACAGUACGUGAAAUUGUUGAAAGGGAAGCGCUUGCAACCAGACCUGCCCGCGGGCGAUCAGCCGUUAUUCUUAGCGGUGCACUCGUCCGCGAUCAGGCCAGCAUCGGUUCGGGCGGCCGGAUAAAGGCCUCGGGAAUGUAGCUCCCCCCGGGGAGUCUUAUAGCCCGGGGUGCAAUGCGGCCAGCCCGGACCGAGGACCGCGCUUCGGCUAGGAUGCUGGCGUAAUGGUUGUAAGCGACCCGUCUUGAAACACGGACC
Molecule: ribosomal RNA, 620 nt
Filed under: Porpidia flavocaerulescens
Lineage: Eukaryota; Fungi; Ascomycota; Lecanoromycetes; Lecideales; Lecideaceae
Also listed under: 1 other name
Description: LSU rRNA
Rfam family: Eukaryotic large subunit ribosomal RNA
Source: RNAcentral